CGCGAGUAGCUCAGUUGGUAGAGCAUCGGCUUCCCAAGCCGAGGGUCGCGGGUCCGAGUCCCGUCUCGCG
This 70-nucleotide transfer RNA is filed under the name Deltaproteobacteria bacterium. RNAcentral describes it as "tRNA-Gly". It matches the Rfam family "tRNA". From Rfam's summary of the family: Transfer RNA (tRNA) molecules are approximately 80 nucleotides in length. Their secondary structure includes four short double-helical elements and three loops (D, anti-codon, and T loops). Lineage: Bacteria; Pseudomonadati; Myxococcota; Myxococcia. The record is from RNAcentral.